GCCGGGGUGGCGGAACUGGUAGACGCGCACGGUUCAGGGCCGUGUCCCGCAAGGGGUAAGGGUUCGAGUCCCUUUCCCGGCA
Molecule: transfer RNA, 82 nt
Filed under: Candidatus Shapirobacteria bacterium CG09_land_8_20_14_0_10_47_13
Lineage: Bacteria; Candidatus Shapironibacteriota
Description: tRNA-Leu
Rfam family: tRNA
About the family: Transfer RNA (tRNA) molecules are approximately 80 nucleotides in length.
Source: RNAcentral